Molecule: ribosomal RNA, 1485 nt
Filed under: Streptococcus thermophilus
Lineage: Bacteria; Bacillati; Bacillota; Bacilli; Lactobacillales; Streptococcaceae
Description: bacterial SSU rRNA
Rfam family: Bacterial small subunit ribosomal RNA
Source: RNAcentral
UCAUAUUGUAAAUGUACGUGCAGUAGACACUGAAGAGAGGAGCUUGCUCUUCUUGGAUGAGUUGCGAACGGGUGAGUAACGCGUAGGUAACCUGCCUUGUAGCGGGGGAUAACUAUUGGAAACGAUAGCUAAUACCGCAUAACAAUGGAUGACACAUGUCAUUUAUUUGAAAGGGGCAAUUGCUCCACUACAAGAUGGACCUGCGUUGUAUUAGCUAGUAGGUGAGGUAAUGGCUCACCUAGGCGACGAUACAUAGCCGACCUGAGAGGGUGAUCGGCCACACUGGGACUGAGACACGGCCCAGACUCCUACGGGAGGCAGCAGUAGGGAAUCUUCGGCAAUGGGGGCAACCCUGACCGAGCAACGCCGCGUGAGUGAAGAAGGUUUUCGGAUCGUAAAGCUCUGUUGUAAGUCAAGAACGGGUGUGAGAGUGGAAAGUUCACACUGUGACGGUAGCUUACCAGAAAGGGACGGCUAACUACGUGCCAGCAGCCGCGGUAAUACGUAGGUCCCGAGCGUUGUCCGGAUUUAUUGGGCGUAAAGCGAGCGCAGGCGGUUUGAUAAGUCUGAAGUUAAAGGCUGUGGCUCAACCAUAGUUCGCUUUGGAAACUGUCAAACUUGAGUGCAGAAGGGGAGAGUGGAAUUCCAUGUGUAGCGGUGAAAUGCGUAGAUAUAUGGAGGAACACCGGUGGCGAAAGCGGCUCUCUGGUCUGUAACUGACGCUGAGGCUCGAAAGCGUGGGGAGCGAACAGGAUUAGAUACCCUGGUAGUCCACGCCGUAAACGAUGAGUGCUAGGUGUUGGAUCCUUUCCGGGAUUCAGUGCCGCAGCUAACGCAUUAAGCACUCCGCCUGGGGAGUACGACCGCAAGGUUGAAACUCAAAGGAAUUGACGGGGGCCCGCACAAGCGGUGGAGCAUGUGGUUUAAUUCGAAGCAACGCGAAGAACCUUACCAGGUCUUGACAUCCCGAUGCUAUUUCUAGAGAUAGAAAGUUACUUCGGUACAUCGGUGACAGGUGGUGCAUGGUUGUCGUCAGCUCGUGUCGUGAGAUGUUGGGUUAAGUCCCGCAACGAGCGCAACCCCUAUUGUUAGUUGCCAUCAUUCAGUUGGGCACUCUAGCGAGACUGCCGGUAAUAAACCGGAGGAAGGUGGGGAUGACGUCAAAUCAUCAUGCCCCUUAUGACCUGGGCUACACACGUGCUACAAUGGUUGGUACAACGAGUUGCGAGUCGGUGACGGCGAGCUAAUCUCUUAAAGCCAAUCUCAGUUCGGAUUGUAGGCUGCAACUCGCCUACAUGAAGUCGGAAUCGCUAGUAAUCGCGGAUCAGCACGCCGCGGUGAAUACGUUCCCGGGCCUUGUACACACCGCCCGUCACACCACGAGAGUUUGUAACACCCGAAGUCGGUGAGGUAAUCUUUUGGAGCCAGCCGUAUAAGGUGGGACAGAUAUUGUGGAACUGUCACACCAGUGCAAUAAAACAUACC